GUAGGUGAACCUGCGGAAGGAUCAUUAACGAAAGCUCGAGCGAGGUUGUGGCUGGUCCCUCCCGGGGGGCAACGUGCACGCCUCGUCUCUCGUCUUCAUCUAUCAACCCCUGUGCACCUCUGCGUGGGUCCCCAUCUCGGGGGCUUGCGUCCUUUCACCACAAAACACAUUCGUAUGUAUCGGAACGUUAUGAUGAUGAUAAAAACCAGUACAACUUUCAACAACGGAUCUCUUGGCUCUC
This 241-nucleotide unclassified non-coding RNA is filed under the name rhizosphere metagenome. RNAcentral's name for it is "partial ribosomal RNA internal transcribed spacer region". The record is from RNAcentral.